GAGUUUACAACUCCCAAACCCCUGUGAACAUACCACUUGUUGCCUCGGCGGAUCAGCCCGCUCCCGGUAAAACGGGACGGCCCGCCAGAGGACCCCUAAACUCUGUUUCUAUAUGUAACUUCUGAGUAAAACCAUAAAUAAAUCAAAACUUUCAACAACGGAUCUCUUGGUUCUGGCAUCGAUGAAGAACGCAGCAAAAUGCGAUAAGUAAUGUGAAUUGCAGAAUUCAGUGAAUCAUCGAAUCUUUGAACGCACAUUGCGCCCGCCAGUAUUCUGGCGGGCAUGCCUGUUCGAGCGUCAUUUCAACCCUCAAGCACAGCUUGGUGUUGGGACUCGCGUUAAUUCGCGUUCCCCAAAUUGAUUGGCGGUCACGUCGAGCUUCCAUAGCGUAGUAGUAAAACCCUCGUUACUGGUAAUCGUCGCGGCCACGCCGUUAAACCCCAACUUCUGAAUGUUGACCUCGGAUCAGGUAGGAAUACCCGCUGAACUUAAGCAUAUCAA
RNAcentral lists this ribosomal RNA (501 nucleotides) under Fusarium oxysporum f. sp. lycopersici. RNAcentral's name for it is "eukaryotic LSU rRNA". The stretch from base 147 to 300 matches the Rfam family "5.8S ribosomal RNA". The record is from RNAcentral. Lineage: Eukaryota; Fungi; Ascomycota; Sordariomycetes; Hypocreales; Nectriaceae.